AUACGGAGGGUCCAAGCGUUAUCCGGAAUCAUUGGGUUUAAAGGGUCCGCAGGCGGUCAAUUAAGUCAGAGGUGAAAGCCCAUCGCUCAACGAUGGAACUGCCUUUGAUACUGGUUGACUUGAGUUAUACGGAAGUAGAUAGGAUAAGUAGUGUAGCGGUGAAAUGCAUAGAUAUUACUUAGAAUACCGAUUGCGAAGGCAGUCUACUACGUAUAUACUGACGCUGAGGGACGAAAGCGUGGGGAGCGAACAGGAUUAGAAACCCUAGUAGUCC
RNAcentral lists this ribosomal RNA (274 nucleotides) under uncultured bacterium. RNAcentral's name for it is "partial 16S ribosomal RNA". It matches the Rfam family "Bacterial small subunit ribosomal RNA", at positions 523 to 796 of the family's 1533-position model. The record is from RNAcentral.